UAUAGCUGUUAAAACAACCCAAAUAAAGAAUAAACACUCUGAAAGAAAAUUCAUCUCAAGAUGGCAGGGCGAGAUGGUUAUAUGCUAAAGUUUAAUGUUAAAUUUUAAGCAACAUUUAUUAAAGGUAAUAGUCACUAUGAAUGGAAGUGCUUUCUACUGAGUCAGAUCAUAUUCCUGUUUGAUGGACAGCCAAUAAAUGAAGCAGAUAAGUCUUCCUCACUGAAAAUGGAAGAUGAAAAUGAUGUUUUCAUUCAGAACAAGUGGGCAAUAUCUACUAAAAACAUAAAUGGCUACUCAU
This 298-nucleotide long non-coding RNA is filed under the name Homo sapiens (human). RNAcentral's name for it is "non-protein coding lnc-CXorf51A-15:1". Lineage: Eukaryota; Metazoa; Chordata; Mammalia; Primates; Hominidae. The record is from RNAcentral.